GAUGAACGCUGGCGGCGUGCCUAAUACAUGCCAGUCGAGCGAACGGACGAGAAGCUUGCUUCUCUGAUGUUAGCGGCGGACGUGUGAGUAACACGUGGAUAACCUACCUAUAAGACUGGGAUAACUUCGGGAAACCGUAUCUAAUACCGGAUAAUCUUUUCAACCGCAUGGUUCAAAAGUGAAAGACGGUCUUGCUGUCACUUAUACAUGGAUCCGCGCUGCAUUAGCUAGUUGGUAAGGUAACGGCUUACCAAGGCAACUAUGCGUAGCCGACCUGAGAGGGUGAGCGGGCAACCGGGAACAGAGGCACGGUCAAGACUCCCACGGGAGGAAGGGAGAGGGAAUCUGCCGAAAUGGGCGAAAGCCUGACGGAGCAACGCCGCGUGAGUGAUGAAGGUCUUCGGAUCGUAAAACUCUGUUAUUAGGGAAGAAAAUAUGUGUAAGUAACUGUGCACAUCUUGACGGUACCUAAUCAGAAAGCCACGGCUAACUACGUG
Molecule: ribosomal RNA, 497 nt
Filed under: uncultured bacterium
Lineage: Bacteria
Description: partial 16S ribosomal RNA
Rfam family: Bacterial small subunit ribosomal RNA
Source: RNAcentral